Molecule: ribosomal RNA, 497 nt
Filed under: uncultured bacterium
Lineage: Bacteria
Description: partial 16S ribosomal RNA
Rfam family: Bacterial small subunit ribosomal RNA
Source: RNAcentral
GAUGAACGCUGGCGGCGUGCCUAAUACAUGCAAGUCGAGCGAACAGACGAGGAGCUUGCUCCUUUGACGUUAGCGGCGGACGGGUGAGUAACACGUGGAUAACCUACCUAUAAGACUGGGAUAACUUCGGGAAACCGGAGCUAAUACCGGAUAACAUGUUGAACCGCAUGGUUCAACAGUGAAAGACGGUCUUGCUGUCACUUAUAGAUGGAUCCGCGCCGCAUUAGCUAGUUGGUAAGGUAACGGCUUACCAAGGCAACGAUGCGUAGCCGACCUGAGAGGGUGAUCGGCCACACUGGAACUGAGACCCGGUCCAGACUCCUACGGGAGGCAGCAGUAGGGAAUCUUCCGCAAUGGGCGAAAGCCUGACGGAGCAACGCCGCGUGAGUGAAGAAGGUCUUCGGAUCGUAAAACUCUGUUAUUAGGGAAGAACAAAUGUGUAAGUAACUAUGCACGUCUUGACGGUACCUAAUCAGAAAGCCACGGCUAACUACGUG